AGGACGUUGAUAGGCUGGGUGUGGAAGUGCAGUAAUGCAUUAAGCUAACCAGUACUAAUUGCCCGUACGGCUUGUCCC
RNAcentral lists this ribosomal RNA (78 nucleotides) under Janthinobacterium sp. OK676. Its description in RNAcentral is "23S rRNA. Bacterial LSU". Lineage: Bacteria; Pseudomonadati; Pseudomonadota; Betaproteobacteria; Burkholderiales; Oxalobacteraceae. The record is from RNAcentral.